Zea mays is the source of this 5798-nucleotide RNA transcript. RefSeq lists it as uncharacterized. NCBI's taxonomy places the organism in Eukaryota, Viridiplantae, Streptophyta, Magnoliopsida, Poales, Poaceae. The record is from RefSeq and is marked validated. The transcript is spliced from 19 exons.
AUGGCGCCUGUCCUGGCGACCUCACCUUCGCAGACGGAAGGCCCAACCGUCUCGCCUCCCUCGCGCCAAACCCAAUCCGACGAGCCGCACGUGCGCCACUCAAGCUCUCCUCCCCCCUCCCACUCCUCUCCUUCCCACGGUCGGGUCAACCACCCCCACCGGAAACCGUGCUCGCGCCGCGUCCGUUCCCGUAAACAAUUGCUGGAUCCCCAUUUCCCCACCAAGAAAAGCAGUAGAACCGCGCCGGCCCACGCCCCGCUGUACAGUUGUCGCGCUCGGGCGGCCGAGUAGUUUAAUCCUCGAGGAAGGAGGGGGGCGGUCGCCCCGGAUGGCCGUGUCCUCGUCGCCUUCCUGCAGACCCACUCCCGGGUUUGAGGCGUCCCUCCUCCUCCGCCGCCGCUCUUUCCGGUUGCGUUUGGGAGGAAUGGUUGUGGAGUUGGUGGAUUCUCAUUCUCCGCUGGGGUUUUAGGAGGAUUCCGGGCUCUUGGCCGGGGAAGCGGAGAUCGGAGGUUCUGCCAGGCGUACGGAUUGGGCGCUGGAGCUCCUGUUUGUUUGAAUUGAAUUUUGGGGAAAAGCUUCCACCUUUCUUCUGCCUUUAAAAGGAGAUGGCUUUUUCACACGACGGAAAGAUGAAGGGCUGUCAGACAAACCUUUUCCGGACAAAGGAUAAGAAAGUCGUCAAGAUGACAGAUAGUGCAAGCUGCUCCACAGCUAAGUAUGGAUCAAGCAACUCAAAAUCACCAUCUUCAUCCCCCUUCCGGAAGCUUUCAGAAGUUAGGAGCAUACGUCUCAACCAUUUUCUAAGUCACUCUUCAAAUGCUACAAAAUAUGAACAUGUCAGGAUAUUUGUCUCCACAUGGAAUGUUGGAGGAAAAGCACCUACUGCCGAGUUGAAACUGGAUGACUUUCUUCCUGUUGAUGACCAUUCAGACAUUUAUGUUUUAGGCUUUCAGGAAAUUGUGCCUCUCAAUGCUGGUAAUGUCCUUGUGAUAGAAGAUAACGAGCCAGCUGCAAGAUGGCUUGCUCUUAUAAACCGUGCGCUAAACCAACCAGUUGACACUGUUGAUGAUAUAUUUCAGCAUAAACCAUAUCCCUCCCUGGAUUCAACCUCAUCCCGGUCAACACCAUGCCUUGAUGGUUCCUUCUCCAACCGUUCAAGAACAGCCAGUGGUUCUAUAAUCUUCCAAAAGUCCUUGAAAUCCAUCAAGAAAUCUUACAUGCCAUCCCAGAGAAAACAACUCAAAUUCUGCAAUUGCCCAGUGGAAAUGGCCAAGAAAUCCUACAAAGAUGCUUGCUUUUGGUGUCCACAAGCAUAUGCCAAUGACAUGGACUCCUCAGAAGAGGAUGAAUUGGAUGACAAUUUGAAUGAUAUUUUUGGCCUUAAUGAUGAUGGCGUUACUUCGUCUGUUUCUGCCUCCAGGGACCAGCUAAAGUAUAACCUCAUAUCUUGCAAACAAAUGGUUGGUAUUUUUGUCACAGUCUGGGCAAAGAAAGAAUUAAUGCAGCAUAUUGGACAUUUGAGAACGUCCUGUGUUGGUCGCGGAAUAAUGGGAUAUCUUGGAAAUAAGGGAUGUAUAUCAGUAAGCAUGACACUAUACCAGACAAGCUUUUGUUUCAUCUGCAGCCAUUUGGCUUCAGGUGAGAAGGAAGGUGAUGAAUUGAGGCGAAAUUUAGAUGUGUUAGAGAUUCUAAGGCUCACACAAUUUCGAAGGAUUUGCAGAAGAGCUGGGCGAAGAAUCCCUGAGAAAAUUCUUGACCAUGAGCGGGUGAUAUGGUUAGGAGAUCUGAACUACCGAAUUUCCUUGAGCUAUGAAGAUACCAAAAAACUUCUGACUGAAAAUAACUGGGAUGCCCUUUUUGAAAAGGAUCAGCUCAAUAUCCAGCGUGCUUCUGGAAGUGUGUUCAAGGGGUGGAGUGAGGAGAAGAUAUAUUUUGCUCCCACAUACAAGUACUCUUGCAAUUCAGAUUCUUAUGCUGGAGAGACUGCCACAUCAAAGAAAAAGAGGAGAACCCCAGCCUGGUGUGAUAGAAUACUAUGGCAUGGAGAUGGUAUUGCACAGUUGUCCUACUUCCGGGGGGAAUCUCAAUUCUCUGACCAUCGUCCUGUUUGUGGGACAUUUAUUGUUGAGGUUAAAAGGCUAGAUGGUCAAUCAAAGCGGCGCCCAUCAAACACCAACAUUAAAAUCGGUGCUGAAGAGUUGUUACCGACAAGAGACAGGCAUAACUAAGGAAGCGAAGGUGGAUCCGACGCCGUCUGCCCCCGCCCCUGGUCAUCACAACAUCCGGGCCUCCCGCCUCCUCGACAACGAGAUCCGCGUCCUCAAGGACGAGUUGCAGCGGACGAACCUUGAGUUGGAGUCGUUCAAGGAGAAGAUCAAGGAAAACCAGGAGAAAAUUAAGCUCAACAAACAGCUACCCUACCUCAUUGGCAAUAUCGUUGAGGUUCUGUCUCUUUCCAUUCGACCUUGGAAAUGAAUCCUGAUGAUGAAGCUGAGGAGGAUGGUGCUAACAUUGAUUUAGAUUCACAAAGGAAAGUAAAAUGUGUUGUUCUGAAGACCUCCACAAGACAAGUACACUGGACAGCAGUGUGGCUUGCUGAGCCUGCAGUGAGAAUGCGCCUAAUGGCUGUUCUGGUUGAUGGAUGCCAGGGACUGAGCGGUGGUGCUAUGGCUGGUGUGAUCCAUGGGCAAGCACAACACGGAGAUCCUAUGUUUCAGGAGUUUGCGGGCCGAUUACUGCGCCGGGUGUGCUCGCCGUUGUUUGAGAUGGUCAGGAGCUGGGUGCUAGAAGGGGAAUUGGAGGAUGUAUUUGCAGAGUUUUUUAUCGUUGGGCAGCCAGUGAAUUACCAGCCAGAACGAAGGUGAUGAGAUGGCGUCAAAGGUAGCUUUUGAUCACCCAGAACGAUUCUCCGAAAAGUUCGAGUUCAGUGCAGCCAACAUUGAGCCCCUGGUUCAGACAUGCAUGACAACUCUAUCCUCAAAGAUGUAAGUCGUAACAAAUCUUUGACAUUAUGUUCCAUCAUUCAGCCUUUGUGAUGCAGAUCUUUUCAUUUCAUUUAUGUUCUUUGGUAAUUCCUACAUCUAUGGUUAAUACUUAAUAUUUUUUCACAGAAGUGAUGUGAUUUUUUCUCUGUGAAGUGCUGUUGCACCACUUUUUUGUGUUGUUUUGGUAAAACAGGAAAAAACUUUGUUAGGGAAGUAGUAACUUUUCAGGGUUUUCUUUUCUUUAUAUGGGCCAACCAAACAGAAAUAAUUUUGGAGAUUUAAUCGGUUCUCACAUGUCAUUAAUCCUUAUACCAAACACACGAACUCAUAUCCAAGCAGGACUGUAACGAACUGUUUGGGAAAGACCAGGUAGGCUUUUAUGUUUUAUCGUCACAUUGCAAAAUACCCUUUAUUCAGAAGUCCUAGCUCAUCUUUCCAUUCCCUUUAAUGAUAUCUGAAAGUAGAGCUGAAGAAGGGGCAUCUGUUUGAAGGAUGGACUGAAGGGGUCAUCAACUUUUGGGUGCUAUUAAAGUGUUCAUAUACCAAACACAGUUUUGCUUUAUAUGUUGUCACCUGACCUAUGGAGAAAAGGAAGGAGAUGAACUAAAAAGGAAUGCUGAUGUUCAAGAAAUCCACUGGAGGACAAUAUUUAAUCCAGUUUCGAGAGUCAACAUGCCUAAAACGAUAUAUGAUCAUGAGUGAGUAAUAUAUUAUAUAUUGUUUCUGGUUACCUCUACUUUUUAGUGGUUCAUUUGGUACUUAUUUUAAUAGUUGAAAGGAACAAAGCAUUAUCUUUAGCCAUUCUUGAAUAUUGCAAUACUAUUAGAACUUUUGCUUUCAUAGUUUACCAGUUCAGUUCAUGGUAGCUAUAUUUGGUGACGCAUUGCAGUUUAGCUUGUUUCAGAAGGAAUGUAGGGCUAGGUGAUCUCAACUAUAGGAUCAACUUACCAUAUGAGAAGACACACGAACUCAUAUCCAAGCAGGACUGGAACGAAUUGUUUGGGAAAGACCAGAUGUGAUCUCUAGAAUGUGCUUUGUAAGCGGCUACAUCAAAGGAAAGGAAAUCUUUAUGAAGACCAGAGAACUCUAGCAGGCUGUCUGAAGACAAAUGUGCUAGCUGAAAUGACUGGCCUAAGGUGAUGAUUUGGAGGCCAUGGUUCAUGUUUGUGAGCUCGUUGCAGAAUGGCGACAGCCAUUUCAUUCAAAUGUAGUGGUGCACAUUGUAUGCUACUGACGAUUUGGCCAUAAUGAAAUUGAUGAGCCGCCCCUCAGUCCCUCACCCAACCUAAGAUGUACAAGGUGAUUAGGAACCAUCCAAGUGUGUUUGAGAUUUAUCAAAGAAAGUUGUUAGAGCCUGGAAAGAUCUCAAAGAAAUAUAUUGAUAAGUUAAACAAGAAGGUCAGCACUGUACUUAAUGAGUAUUUCGAGAAUAGCAAGGACUAUGUUCCGAACAAGAGGGACUAGAUUUUAGCUUAUUGGCAGGGUUCAAGUCACCAAAGCAGAUUUUAUGUAUCUGAAACAUUGGAGUCAAGCCAGAGAUUCUAAAACGUGUUGGAGAAGCCAUGACUACUCUGCCAAAAUUUCAAUCCUCACAGGGCUGUGAAUUUUUUUUAUCAAAGGCAUCAAAUGAUUGAGACUAGAGAAGACAUUGAUUGGACAGUUGGUGAAACACUUGUUUUUGCUACUCUUAUCAUUGAAGGGAACCACGUCAGGUUAAGUGGUUAGGAUGUUGAGAGGGGUACAUUUAGCCACCGUCAUUCUGUCAUCCAUGACCAAACUAGAGAAUAGUACUACCCACUGUACCAUCUUGUUAUGAACCAAGAUGAGGAGAUUUUUACUAUGAGCAACAUGUAUGAACAAUAUGGUAAUGGUUUGUUCCAGUUAUGGAUAUGCAUUGCUUAAUAGCUUAAGUUCGUCUUUUAUAGGAAACAUGAAAUAUUACAAUAAUCAAAUAGACCCAAAACGAACCAGUUUAUCGAACAACUUUGGAUGUCGUCGGAAUGCACAGGCAUUGUACUAUUUUUACUAAUGUUAUGGAUGUAGUAAUGAACCAUCCAAAGAAUUGAAGCUGAGGAAGUAGUUUAUCUGUGCCAAGCUUUUAUUGGUUGCUAUACUAUUGCCAAGUAGUGGCUUUGUUGUAAACAAUCACAAUUAUGAAUCUCCAUGAAAUGACUCUUUCGAAAUUUUAAAAGGAUGAAACAGUGUGUCACUGGUUUUCUAGCAGGAACCAAGGGUAUAGAUGCUACAAGUAUCAUUUGUUUUGUAGCAGGACAACAGGAAAACUGAAGGCGCACUGCACAGUUUGGGUGAGAGCGUUGCUUCAUUUACAGGAGUAGUUCAAGUGACAACAUCUGUGGUUGGUGCGGCUUGCAGCAGCUAGGCCAGUAGCACUGCUUUGAAGAGAUCGAUUCAGCUGAAAGUGGGAAAUCCUGCUAAAAGAUGAAGGGAUGAAGGCCAUAUACAUACACUCCUUCAGGUGCUUUGUUGGAUGCGCCCAACAUUUUCGUCCAAGAGUAAAUACACCUGCGAGGUCUGGCACAAAGUUAAACAUCUGGCCAUGUACUCCUUCAGCCAUGAAAUUUUCUCCAAAGUUUGUGCAAGAGUUUCAGGGACCUAUUUCUUUGUUCCGAGGGUGUACAUAUCAAAGAAGUUGUCCAUAGCGUUACAAUCCUCUGAAAUUCCUUGGGCCCCCUUAAUUUUAAAAAUAAGGGCCAGGUGUGGAAGAUCCAUUUGUUUUGACACAAUGUGCUUAGUAGUUGUGAGCUAUAACACUGUGUACGAGUCUUCCGCUGAGUUAAUCACUUUUUUGCUUUA